GGCNNGGGCGUGCUACACAUGCAGUCGAACGAUGAAGCCCAGUCUUGCUGGGUGGAUUAGUGGCGAACGGGUGAGUAACACGUGGGUGAUCUGCCCUGCACUUCGGGAUAAGCCUGGGAAACUGGGUCUAAUACCGGAUAGGACCUCCGGAUGCAUGUUCCGGGGUGGAAAGGUUUUCCGGUGCAGGAUGGGCCCGCGGCCUAUCAGCUUGUUGGUGGGGUAACGGCCCACCAAGGCGACGACGGGUAGCCGGCCUGAGAGGGCGACCGGCCACACUGGGACUGAGACACGGCCCAGACUCCUACGGGAGGCAGCAGUGGGGAAUAUUGCACAAUGGGCGCAAGCCUGAUGCAGCGACGCCGCGUGAGGGAUGACGGCCUUCGGGUUGUAAACCUCUUUCAGUACCGACGAAUCGCAGAUGACGGUAGGUACUCAAGAAUCACCGGCCAACUACAUGCCACCACCCGCGGUAAUACGUAAGGUGCCAGCGUUGUCCGGAAUUACUGAGCGUAAAUAGCUCGUACGCGGUUUGUCGCGUCCUCUGUGAAAACCCGCAGCUCAACUGCGGGCUUGCAGGCUAUACCGGCAAACUUGAUUACUGCAUGGGAGACUGGAAUUCCUGGUGUAGCGGUGAAAUGCCCAGAUAUCCGGAGGAACGCCGGUGGCUAAGGCGGAUCUCUGGUCACUAACUGACGCUGAUGAGCCAAAGCGUGCGUACCUAACAGGAUAAACCCCC
Molecule: ribosomal RNA, 736 nt
Filed under: bacterium
Lineage: Bacteria
Description: bacterial SSU rRNA
Rfam family: Bacterial small subunit ribosomal RNA
Source: RNAcentral